GUGAGUGAGAUGGCUCAUUUGAUGUUCGAUAUCUGGAUGAUGUAGAAAAGCGUUAGUAGAGGUCUGAGUUUUAGAAUUUUAUGCUAAUUUUGAAGCAAUAAUGUGAAAAACGUUAGGCUUGAUAUCUACACGCUUGGAUUCGAGCUUGAGAUUGAAUUUCUAGGUGAAAUCGAACAGAAUAGAGGAACAACGGAUAUACAUUGUAGGUCAAGGCAAUAAGAGUUUUUAUUUUUUUUUUAUUUUUCAGAUUUGAUUAGACGAUGAGGGGUUUGAACAAGGUAGUUAGGUUGAAAGAGUAGAGGAAAGGGAUAUUGUGGAGAAUACAGUUGAUUUGAUAAUAAUUUGGUAACAUAAACAUCAAACGGACUUUUAGGUAAUUUGUAAUAAUACUGUAGAAGGUAUUUUAUGUUGAGUGUACAGACAUUUUAAUUGUCUAACGUAAUUCUGACAACACUGUGGCGCUUGAGUGGGUUUGACAUUUCAUUUUGAGGGAGAAUGAAAGAGAUAGAAGAUUGAACGUUCGGCUUUGGUUGCGCUGUUUCCAGCUGUGGUUGAUGGGUUCGUUGAAAUAAUUCGAAGAGAACGGAUGUCAUUUUUGAGCUGCCCAAGGUAAUUCAAACUGAGUACUCCAUCCACAUUAGCGGUCUAUGCAACCACUCUCAUCCAGUGAAAUUGGAUCGUAAAAGCCUUAUCAGCGCUGGACCACGUUGGACGUUAUGCAAUUACUGCGUCAACUCGUCAAUUUAAUUUGUUUUACAGAAAUCUACUGCAAAACUCACCAGGAUGAACGUGUGUAAAAAAUGGCUCUUGAUGCAGGCCGGGCUGAAGGUGGUGUUGUCCGCCUCGAGGAACACCACGCAGACGAUGUCGUUGCCGAUGUGGCGCUU
Long non-coding RNA from Culex pipiens pallens (northern house mosquito), 887 nucleotides. RefSeq lists it as uncharacterized. The record is from RefSeq and is a predicted model, not a curated record. The transcript has 3 exons. Lineage: Eukaryota; Metazoa; Arthropoda; Insecta; Diptera; Culicidae.